AGGGUUCGAUUCUGGCUCAGAACGAACGCUGGCGGCGCGUCUUAAGCAUGCAAGUCGAACGGCAAGAGGUAGCAAUACCUCCUAGAGUGGCGGACUGGUGAGUAACACGUGGGUGACAUACCCUUCAGAUGGGGAUAGCUAUUAGAAAUAGUAGAUAAUACCGAAUACGAGCACAGGGGUUAGAGAUCUGUGAGGAAAGGAGCUAAGGCUCCGCUGAAGGAAUGGCCUGCGGCCCAUUAGCUAGUUGGUGAGGUAAGAGCCCACCAAGGCGAUGAUGGGUAUCCGGCCUUAGAGGGUGAACGGACACAUUGGGACUGAGAUACGGCCCAGACUCCUACGGGAGGCAGCAGCUAAGAAUAUUCCGCAAUGGACGAAAGUCUGACGGAGCGACGCCGCGUGGAUGAAGAAGGCCGGAAGGUUGUAAAAUCCUUUUGAAACUGAAGAAUAAGCGUUGUAGGGAAUGACAGCGUGGUGACAGUAGGUUUUGAAUAAGCAACGGCUAAUUACGUGCCAGCCGCCGC
RNAcentral lists this ribosomal RNA (521 nucleotides) under uncultured bacterium. Its description in RNAcentral is "bacterial SSU rRNA". It matches the Rfam family "Bacterial small subunit ribosomal RNA", at positions 8 to 518 of the family's 1533-position model. The record is from RNAcentral.